RNAcentral lists this unclassified non-coding RNA (284 nucleotides) under Hevea brasiliensis (rubber tree). Lineage: Eukaryota; Viridiplantae; Streptophyta; Magnoliopsida; Malpighiales; Euphorbiaceae. The record is from RNAcentral.
GUGAUCCCUGGGAUUGCUUUCGCUGGCGGGCUAUAUGCGUAUACUCUAACUGGGCUCACUUCGAAGAGCCGUGAAUCCUACUCCAAUGCCGGCAUUGUUGCCGAGCAGGCAAUUGCACAAGUCCGAACUGUAUAUUCAUACGUAGGGGAAUCCAAGGCGCUGGAUUCCUACUCGGAAGCAAUACAAAACACAUUGAAGCUUGGAUAUAAGGCAGGAAUGGCAAAAGGUUUAGGUAUCGGGUGUACCUAUGGGAUAGCAUGCAUGUCAUGGGCUCUGGUAUUCUG